This 408-nucleotide ribosomal RNA is filed under the name uncultured bacterium. Its description in RNAcentral is "partial 16S ribosomal RNA". It matches the Rfam family "Bacterial small subunit ribosomal RNA", at positions 355 to 755 of the family's 1533-position model. The record is from RNAcentral.
UGGGGAAUAUUGCACAAUGGGCNCAAGCCUGAUGCAGCCAUGCCGCGUGUGUGAGGAAGGCCUUCGGGUUGUAAAGCACUUUCAGCGAGGAGGAAGGUGGUGGACUUAAUACGUUCAUCAAUUGACGUUACUCGCAGAAGAAGCACCUGCUAACUCCGUGCCAGCAGCCGCGGUAAUACGGAGGGUGCAAGCGUUAAUCGGAAUUACUGGGCGUAAAGCGCACGCAGGCGGUUUGUUAAGUCAGAUGUGAAAUCCCCGGGCUCAACCUGGGAACUGCAUUUGAAACUGGCAAGCUAGAGUCUCGUAGAGGGGGGUAGAAUUCCAGGUGUAGCGGUGAAAUGCGUAGAGAUCUGGAGGAAUACCGGUGGCGAAGGCGGCCCCCUGGACGAAGACUGACGCUCAGGUGCG